UGGGGAAUAUUGGACAAUGGGGGAACCCUGAUCCAGCCAUGCCGCGUGUGUGAAGAAGGCCUUAUGGUUGUAAAGCACUUUAAGCGAGGAGGAGGGUACUGGUAUUAAUACUACCAGCUACUGGACGUUACUCGCAGAAUAAGCACCGGCUAACUCUGUGCCAGCAGCCGCGGUAAUACAGAGGGUGCGAGCGUUAAUCGGAUUUACUGGGCGUAAAGCGUGCGUAGGCGGCUAAUUGGGUCGGAUGUGAAAUCCCCGAGCUUAACUUGGGAAUUGCAUUCGAUACUGGUUAGCUAGAGUGUGGGAGAGGAUGGUAGAAUUCCAGGUGUAGCGGUGAAAUGCGUAGAGAUCUGGAGGAAUACCGAUGGCGAAGGCAGCCAUCUGGCCUAACACUGACGCUGAGGUACGAAAGCAUGGGGAGCAAACAGG
This 429-nucleotide ribosomal RNA is filed under the name Pseudomonadota bacterium. Its description in RNAcentral is "Proteobacteria bacterium partial 16S ribosomal RNA". It matches the Rfam family "Bacterial small subunit ribosomal RNA", at positions 355 to 776 of the family's 1533-position model. The record is from RNAcentral. Lineage: Bacteria; Pseudomonadati; Pseudomonadota.